This 3728-nucleotide long non-coding RNA is filed under the name Nicotiana benthamiana. Its description in RNAcentral is "long non-coding RNA (NBEN_LNC026212)". The record is from RNAcentral. Lineage: Eukaryota; Viridiplantae; Streptophyta; Magnoliopsida; Solanales; Solanaceae.
AAACAUAAAAGAAAAACCUAAAAAAAUCCUUAUCUCUAAGGACUAAUCAACCGCAAUACACUUGAAGAGGUCGAUGAAAAUUUACACGAGAAAAAAAGGCAAAACGGAAAAAUGACCUAACUCCUAGAAGCUUCAGCGCCCAUCUAUGGUGGAAAAAGAGAAAAACAAAAGAUCUGCUUCUUCUCCAUUGUAGCUUCAAAAACGCUACACUUUCCCACGACCAUAACUCCAGCUCCCCAUCCAUCACCGUGCCACCCCAAACACCAACAAACGAACCAUGCCUGACCAUCACUUCUAACCAAAUACAAACUCGCCGGAAAAACCCAUUAAAACCGACUCGUUCACCCCUCCCUUCACCAACCAGCCCAACACGCCAGUGAACAGAAGCCAUCAGCAAAAACAACCCUCCAACGCCCCAAUAAACCCAACCACCCCGCCAACCUCUCCAAAAACUCGCCGAAAAAGAUGGUCUCCAUCCUCUGAACGUCUAAGUCCACCCUACGAUCCUCCUUUCCUAUCCAGAAGCCGGACAACAGAGAACGACCAGAUUCCAAAUUUCGCUUUCUAAAAAUGAAAUUUGUUUGAGGUGAUUCGAAGUCCAAUUCGAGGUCUCGUUCAGUCGUACAUCGAGGUUACUAUCCGAGUUCCUAUUGCUGUUUUCAUUUUGUUCGUGCUGCAAUUCGCUCAAUUUUGGCUUAAAGCUCUUGUAUGAUUUUCAAGCGUCGAAGAAAAUUUCAGAACUCCUUUUGUGGUCCUUCUCAUUGACUUCUCUUUAUUAUGUGUGCUAUUAUUUUUCAUGUGCUAUGUUAAUUGCAUGAUGAUGGCUUAAUGUUCUCGUUUGAUAUAAAUUCAGUCAAAUUGCUCAUUUUAAUUAACUAUUGUGAAUAGAGCAUAAUUUAUGAUAAGUAAAUCAAUUCAUGAACUAUUAGUUUAAGUUAGAUUACGGGGCAGUGGAUUGAUAAACUCUGGAAAAGAAAUGUUGGACAAGAAUAGUGAAAUAGAAAUGGGAUCUAAAGAUGGAAGUUAAAAGUAACAAAAUUGAGAUUUUAGUACUACAUUUGUUACUUUAUUUUAUUUUAUUAUCCACUAGUGGUAUGUUUAGGUCGGUCACACUUGGGUAGGUAAGCUUUAGGAUUUUUUUUGUUUUGAGGCAACAAGUCGUUCUCUUAGUUAAAUUUAUCUGGAGAAUACCCCAAAGAAUUUAUAUAUUUUUUAUCCGGGGUAUACCCCGAAGUACGUAUAAAUAAUGGCCAGAUAUUGGAUGAUGUGAGGAAGCGUAGAAUAGAACUUUAAUAUUUUCCUUUAUUCAUUUUAUCUUUUUUAGGUGGGGAUGACCUCUAACAUCUUGUGUAUUUUUUUUUUUUGUGUUUUACCUCAAUUGAAUAUUUUAAAGCGGACCAUAUGAAGUAUGCAACCGUACUAGUUACGGGACUUGGGGAGUGCCUAACACCUUCACCCUGAGUCAAUUGAACCCCCUUACCCGAAUCUCUGGUGCAAAUUUAGUUUUAAAGUUCAAAGUGUUUAAAUAGGAAAAAUUAUUUUUAUAAAACGGUGACCUGGCACAACAAAACCAAUGUCAGGUGGCGACUCUGAGUUAAUCCUUUUGAACACAAACUUUUGUCUCUUUCUAAUUGAAAACCCUUUUAAGCUUUGCAAAGUCCUUUUAUUUAUUUAAGAUGGGUUAGUGAGGAUUGAUUAAAAAAAGGGUAUGACAUCUAUGGUUUUUAGGUUCGAGCUGGGGAGUUGUAGGUUCGAGCUGGUACUUGAUCUUGUUGGUUUCUUAGGAUAUUCGGUUGAGGUGUUUGUUUUUUGUAUUUGAUUUGUUUGUAUUAUUUCCUUGUUUUGUUGGUUAUUUGUUUAUCGUUUUUCUUAAUGUGUUACUGCUUUAUAAUCUAUCAUCAUUUGUAUAACCAUGAGUCUUCUUUUUGCAGAAGUCUCGAAGUACGUAUAGCGUGCACGAACUCUUUGUUGAGUCACUCUUAAUUUAAAAGGGGGACCGUCGGACGUAUGGAGUGGGUGGAAAGCUUGAGCAGCCACCAUCGACCAUACGCUCCUCCGAAUUGCCUUGUUAGUGAACCCCAAUAUUACGUCAACCUUUAGGUCACUCUUAUUUGCAUCAUGUCAUUUAAACCUAGUAGGUCUUGGUCCCAGGCACCGUGUCCCUUUGUAGAAGCUUAUCCAAACUUUGUCAAAAUUUGGCCCGUAGUCCAAAAAGACAUUCAAUCAUCUGUAUGUGAUACAUGUUGCAUCUUUUAGGGUAAAAAGAUCAUUUGAUGGACCGAUGCUUGGGAAAGAAUGGUGAAAAAAGAAGCAAGUAGGGCCCAGUUAUGUUUUUCUUUCAAUCAUUUUUCAAAAAAAGUCAAAAAAAUGAAAAUGAAAAAUGCAAAAAGAGAUUUAGCCCUUUUCCAUUAUUUUCCAAAAAAAUCCAAAAAAAAAAGAAACUCCAAAAAGAUUUUAUAUUUUUCAUCAUUUUCAAAAAGACAAUAUAUAUAUAUANNNNNNNNNNNNNNNNNNNNNNNNNNNNNNNNNNNNNNNNNNNNNNNNNNNNNNNNNNNNNNNNNNNNNNNNNNNNNNNNNNNNNNNNNNNNNNNNNAUGGCAUCAUGUCAUUUACACCUAGUAGGGCUCGGUCCCAAGUACGUGUCCCUUUGUAGGGAGCCUGUCCAAAUUUUGUCAAAAUGGGCCCGUGGGCCAAAAUGACAUCAAUCAUCCCUAUAUGAUACAUGUUGCAUCUUUGAGGGUAACAAGGUCAUUGGCUGACCGAUGUUUGGGGAAGAAGGGUGAAAAAUGAAGCAAGUAGGGCUCGCUUGCAAUUUUUCUUUCAUAGUUUUCUGAAAGUUCAAAAAAAAGAAAAUAAAAAAUCCAAGAAAGAUUUUACACUUUCCCAUUAUUUCUCCAAAAAUUCAAAAAAAAAAAAAAGAAAUGAAAAAAAAAAAUUUUAAAAAUCCAAAAAGAAUUUACUGUUCCAUUAUUUUCCAAAAAUUUAAAAAAAGGAGAAAAAGAAAAUCCAAAAAGAUUUUGCAUUUUCUGUCAUUUUAAAAAAAUAUAAUUUUUUUUCAAAUUAGUUGCAUUUUUUAGGCUUUUGUCCAUAUCCAAUCUUCCCGAACUACGCAAACCUGAUUCUCGUCUUUCGGGGUGGGAUACGUAGGAAACCCACAUAGGACCCGAUCUUCCUAGUGAACUUUAGGUUCUUGGCUUCGUGGGGUCUUAGCCAAAUCUUUCAUGUCUAGCCACUCCUUGCCAUAUUGGCCAUUGUUGCAAAAUAGGGUCAUUUUUGCAAAAGUAUUUCAGUUACCCAUAUCUUAGGAUUUUGAGUCUACAACUAGGUGUCAUAUUACUUUAAGGUCCUUCCUUUUUGAGUUUGCAUCUUUAGUCACUUCUGGCCAUAUCGGUCAUUUUUUACAAAAUGGGUAAUUUCUGCAAAUUAAUUUUGGACAAUGAUUAUUGGGAGUUGAAUCUAUAUAAGAAUUGGUAAGGUAUUUUCAUAUCUGAGUAGUCACCUUGUUGAUUUUGCACUUAUAGCUACUCUUGUCUACGUAGGUUAAUUUCCAAAAAUAGCCUAGUCGUGUCUGGCAUGUAUCCAACAAGAGGUGUUGUGGGUGUCGCAUAGUGUCUUGAGUCACUAACUCUAUUCAAUCUUAUUUUUACCAUUCAGGAAUGGAUCAACUUGCUAGAGUUUGAGCAUGACAAAUAUCCCAGGACCAUUCUAGUCAAUACCAUUACAUACACG